AGACUAUGGCGGCUCUCCAGCUCCAGUUUCAGUUUCUCCAGCCUGGAGAUGAGCUCGGCGGCGAAGGCAGCAGGUUCCACAGGCGUCAUCUCCUUGGGCAGGCGAAAAUGAAGAAAGCUGCUGCGGGCUAGUAGCAGAACACUGCUGAGCUCGGCUGCCUGAAGCCGAUCUAUCAAGGGAAAACGGAACAUCUCCAAACCAAAAUUUUUCCAUUCUUUGAUUCAGGAACUAUAUCAAACCAUCACUCCAUUACCACCACAUCCAAAAGAACCAUUUAAUUUCCCCAGUCCGGCCACUCCUUUCUGUUCCUUCACUCCAAAUCUCAGGCAUUGCCCACCCCCACCCCCACCCCUACACCUCCCAGCUCCUGUAAUAAUUUAGGGCCUCACUACCCGUGUCCUGGUGUCCUGUCAUCUAUACUCACCGGAAAAUGAGGUAGAGACACUUGGCCAUUGGCCUUCACACUGCGAUGCAUCUCUCUCUGGAGCUGUUUCUUACUCCCCAUGCGGUAAGGAGGGAUUCCAUCUCU
Molecule: long non-coding RNA, 529 nt
Filed under: Mus caroli (Ryukyu mouse)
Lineage: Eukaryota; Metazoa; Chordata; Mammalia; Rodentia; Muridae
Description: predicted gene 11670 (MGP_CAROLIEiJ_G0002734.1)
Source: RNAcentral